RNAcentral lists this long non-coding RNA (753 nucleotides) under Olea europaea subsp. europaea. Lineage: Eukaryota; Viridiplantae; Streptophyta; Magnoliopsida; Lamiales; Oleaceae. The record is from RNAcentral.
UGCCAUUUUUCCAUGAGAAUAAGAAUUCACUUCUUCAAAACUCGAAUCAUAUCUCCACUAUUAUAGUGACAAUCAAUCAGACACAAUAGAUCCACUCGAGAAGACAAAUCAAUAGAAAAUGCCAUUUGCAGAUUUGCUCCACGAGAAUAAGAAUUCACUUCAAUGAAACAACAAAAGAGUUUCACGAGAAUCGUCUCGAUAUAGAACUAAUCAGACAAGAUAAUAAUUGCCCUUGUACGAACAUGGAAUUAGUCUACAUGGUCAUGGCGUAUACAACUUUGAAAGACAUUGCAACAUUUUAAUUUGCAACCUUAAAAACAAGAUAUAAUCUGCUGUCUUGAGUAAAAGGUUGUCCGAAUUCAAGCCUUGUCCUCCAGGAACAAUUUUCUGCAAUUUCUUCACCUUCUUAUGAACCAACCCACCUCCCAUUUCCCCUUUUCCUCUUCUCAACUUCGUAUUUCCAUGCACAAUUUUGCUUCUUCUGCAAACCAUUUUAAUCCUCUGAAAACUGCAAGUCGACUUGACUAUGACAAGAGUCUCGAAUAUAAAUAGACUAUGUGCACAGAAGAAAAGCUGAAUCUUCUGUAAGUGUGUAUAGAGUUGGAGUUUCAGUUGUAUAGAGUGGAAGGCAGGGGUGGUGGACAUGGCCAUGUGAGGUUAGACAGGUGGUUUUGAAAACUUGAGCUGUAGAAAUUAAUGAAGGGAUUUUGUCCCUUUUUGAAGCUCCUGUGUUGUGUUAUGACAGCUCUUACG